GCGUUGAAGCGGGAGGUUGCAGCCUUCGGGCUGGUUUUUCCGUGGAGUAUGUCCGAUUUUAAACCGGGCG
Molecule: non-coding RNA, 70 nt
Filed under: uncultured Ruminococcus sp.
Lineage: Bacteria; Bacillati; Bacillota; Clostridia; Eubacteriales; Oscillospiraceae
Description: S10-Clostridia ribosomal protein leader
Rfam family: S10-Clostridia ribosomal protein leader
Source: RNAcentral